GGAAUAGCGCCUGAGCAGAUGGGAAUCAUCUGCUGACGAGGAGGACAGUCAUCGAAAUUCGGCGGAUGCUGUCCCGGAUACUGAAGUAUUCGUUAAACCGCAUGUUAAAACUGGCAAGUGAUUGUCGGCACAGAGCAU
Molecule: non-coding RNA, 138 nt
Filed under: Candidatus Salinicoccus stercoripullorum
Lineage: Bacteria; Bacillati; Bacillota; Bacilli; Caryophanales; Staphylococcaceae
Description: glmS glucosamine-6-phosphate activated ribozyme
Rfam family: glmS glucosamine-6-phosphate activated ribozyme aptamer
About the family: This entry contains a glucosamine-6-phosphate activated ribozyme that is found in the mRNA for GlmS. GlmS is an enzyme that uses fructose-6-phosphate and glutamine to generate glucosamine-6-phosphate.
Source: RNAcentral